Molecule: ribosomal RNA, 491 nt
Filed under: uncultured bacterium
Lineage: Bacteria
Description: bacterial SSU rRNA
Rfam family: Bacterial small subunit ribosomal RNA
Source: RNAcentral
GAUGAACGCUAGCGGGAGGCCUAACACAUGCAAGCCGAGCGGUAGAGAUUCUUCGGGAUUUUGAGAGCGGCGUACGGUGCGGAACACGUGUGCAACCUACCUUUAUCUGGAGGAUAGCCUUUCGAAGGAAGAUUAAUACUCCAUAAUAUAUUGAUUGGCAUCGAUUGAUAUUGAAAGCUCCGGCGGAUAGAGAUGGGCACGCGCAAGAUUAGCUAGUUGGUGAGGUAACGGCUCACCAAGGCGAUGAUCUUUAGGGGCCUGAGAGGGUGAUCCCCACACUGGUACUGAGACACGGACCAGACUCCUACGGGAGGCAGCAGUGAGGAAUAUUGGUCAAUGGGUGCAAGCCUGAACCAGCCAUCCCGCGUGAAGGACGACUGCCCUAUGGGUUGUAAACUUCUUUUGUAUAGGGAUAAACCUACCCUCGUGAGGGUAGCUGAAGGUACUAUACGAAUAAGCACCGGCUAACUCCGUGCCAGCAGCCGCGGUAA